GACGAACGCUGGCGGCGUGCCUAAUACAUGCAAGUCGAACGCUUCUUUCCUCCCGAGUGCUUGCACUCAAUUGGAAAGAGGAGUGGCGGACGGGUGAGUAACACGUGGGUAACCUACCCAUCAGAGGGGGAUAACACUUGGAAACAGGUGCUAAUACCGCAUAACAGUUUAUGCCGCAUGGCAUAAGAGUGAAAGGCGCUUUCGGGUGUCGUUGAUGGAUGGACCCGCGGUGCAUUAGCUAGUUGGUGAGGUAACGGCUCACCAAGGCCACGAUGCAUAGCCGACCUGGGAGGGUGACCCGCCCCCCUGGGACUGAGACAAGGCCCAGACUCCUACGGGAGGCAGCAGUAGGGAAUCUUCGGCAAUGGACGAAAGUCUGACCGAGCAACGCCGCGUGAGUGAAGAAGGUUUUCGGAUCGUAAAACUCUGUUGUUAGAGAAGAACAAGGACGUUAGUAACUGAACGUCCCCUGACGGUAUCUAACCAGAAAGCCACGGCUAACUACGUG
Molecule: ribosomal RNA, 508 nt
Filed under: uncultured bacterium
Lineage: Bacteria
Description: partial 16S ribosomal RNA
Rfam family: Bacterial small subunit ribosomal RNA
Source: RNAcentral